UUGCAUCCAAUUAUUAAUGGUUAUUAAGUUUAACAACUUGAUAUUAAAAGGGAAUUCGGUGAAAAUCCGGAACUGUCCCGCAGCUGUAUGCUCAACAAACGAAACCCAAUAAUGGUCACUGUUUAAUAGAAUGGGAAGGCCGGGUUAACAGAGUAAGUCAGAAGACCUGCCAUUUAACAUUAAUUCAA
RNAcentral lists this non-coding RNA (188 nucleotides) under Formosa agariphila. RNAcentral also lists the same sequence under 1 other name. Lineage: Bacteria; Pseudomonadati; Bacteroidota; Flavobacteriia; Flavobacteriales; Flavobacteriaceae. The record is from RNAcentral.